Molecule: long non-coding RNA, 3429 nt
Filed under: Homo sapiens (human)
Lineage: Eukaryota; Metazoa; Chordata; Mammalia; Primates; Hominidae
Description: non-protein coding lnc-RAB22A-2:3
Source: RNAcentral
GUGUGCAUGUGUGCAUGUGUGGCAUAUGUGCCGUAUGUCAGUAGCUUGACAGUUUUCAAAUCGUGCCUAUAUUUUUUUGCAUACACAAAUUUUUGUGUUUGCAAACUCAGAAUCCAUGCCAAAAUACAAUGUUAUAUGUCAUUUUCAGCUCCUUCUCUAAAGGAAUGGCCCAUUUCUCAUUGUAGUUUGAGAAAUACAUGUAUGAAGAGAUAGGGGUCUUGGGCUUCCCAGUGUCACUUUGAACACCUGAAUAACAUUUAACUCCUGAGACCUUCUCGGUGUAGAGGCCACUGCUUCCCCCUGCUGGAGAUGGCAUUUCAUUGAAGGGCCUCUCGUGGCUUUCCCUGCCCCCGGCUGUCUGGCCUGAAGAAGGAGAAAGAACCAAACUGAACUAUGAAAAGUUACCACUCUGAGGAGACCUCUCUUAAUUAACACUUGGGGCCAUGUUUGCUGUUGUUGAGAAGGAGUGUUCUCAAAGAUGAGCUGGAAUGGAAUUGUAUUUAGAAAGGCCCCUGCAAAGUAUAUAGAUGGAUGACUCUAGUUCAUGACAUACAAAUCCCAUAAGGCCAACGACCACUCUUCUGGAACACCAAGAGCAGCUCUGAGAUCAUGCUGGCCCUACGCGAAUUGAGUUUCUGUGGCCUAAUUGGAUUUGGAGAACGCCUUCCCUGGCCCCUUUUCCUCAGACAGAUCUGCUCUGAUAGGAACCUUUUCAAGAAAGUUACUGUUGUUUCAAUGCCACUCCUUACCUGUAUAGAACAUUUCCAAUACAUUCGCUCAUUGAACUUAAUCCUUGCAACUGUGACUGGGGGGUAGAUGGCUCUGUUUGCAUACGAAGAAAUAAAGGCUCCAGGAGGUUAAAUCGGGCAACUUUUUAGAACUAAAUCAGUCUCUGUAAGGCCUACAUUGCUAAGAUACCAUUUCAGCUCUGAAAAUCUGCUUCAGGGAAGUGAGUGGAUGAGGCCUUCCUGCCUCAGCUACUCUGCCCGUCUGUACAUCUUUUGUGUCUGCCUCCGUACCUUAUUCAGUUAUUUUCACACUAAAGUAAGUAGAAUUAAGACUGUAGUUCAGAUGCUUUUUCUUUUUCUGUUGGAAACUGAACACACUACAGACAGUGAAAAAAGGUACAUAUUCCAUUUUCUCAUUGCCUGAAGAUCUCUGCUGAUGCUCCUGGAGAAUGACUUUGGGGGCUUUAGAAAGAAUAUUGCCAGUCCGUCUCGGCAAGGAGAUGAUGGGAGCGCUUUAUAUGGAGGCUUUACAUGACUUGUAAAUUAAAUGUGAAUGAGGGCAGUUGAUUAAAAUUGGUAUUACAGAAGGGCCCUGCUGAGGUUUGAAAACAGCUGAGCUGCUGAUGUCUCAGGCCUUUCCCUGAAUUAGCACUGCGGUUCUCCAGGAUAUCAGCAAAGAGGGCAAGUAAUAGAAGCCCCUGAUAAGGAGCGUCAGCCGACAGGCAAGCUUGGGAGGCUGUGGGAAUGGGUCUGCCCCCAGCUUCACAGACCUCUUCCUCCAGCCUCUGAAUCCCAUUAGCCACAGCCUAGAACAUUAGCUGAGCUGCACAAGCUCACCCACCCCUGUGCCAGGGGGCCCUGACCUCCCUCCAUGCCAUGUUUUUGGCUGUAUCUACGGCACUUAACAAUAGGGGCUUUUUAUUUUCAUUACAGAGAUAUUUUGAAAAAUUUAAAAGACAUGAACUCACAUAAACAGUUAUGGAUGAUAGUUAAAAGAGAAACGGGUGGAGGUGGAUGAGAGGUUGUCUUCAUGAAUAUAAUUACUUGAGAUUUUUUUUUCUUAAUGGAAUUAGUUUAUUAGAAAAUGUCUGUGUUAAAUCCGUAGAAAAGGAAGAAAAGUGUAGCAACAAAAAUGUAGCCAUUAUCUAACUUGCCAUAAAUAUUUGCAGUUAUGAUACCUUGGAAUGUUGCCACGAUAUGGAUUGCUUUGAUUAAAAGAUGUCAGUUGAAUAAAACAGUACUGUGGGAGAAUCGCUUUCUGCUGCUAGAUAAAUGCUGAUGUUUAUUUUUAAACCAGGAAACAUUGAUCCUGUAACAAUGCCCGAUUACAAUUGCUUUAUUACACCCCAGGGCUGAUGGAGAUGUAAUCACUUGGCUAAUGGAUGUGGGUGCAGGACAGAUGCUCGCUUGCUGGCCUGCUUUCCUGCUUGCAUUCUGAUGAGCUGCAGGAGUGCGCCUGGCCUUCUGCAGGUGGAGCUGCUGUCAGAGCUUCGUUUCACUGAUACCCAAAGCCAUGUCUGACUGAAAUAAAACAGGUUCCCUUUUUUUUUCCCUUUGGAAAAUGCCAACUAAGGGAGACUAAUCAGAUAUCUUAACACAAUUUCAUCCAGGCUUAGUGCUAACAAGAUUGCGGGGCUUUUUAGGGUUUAAGAAGAUGAGAAAUGAGUGUGCACGUUUCACACGUUGACUUGCCGGUUUUUCCAUGUCAUACAAAAAAGUCCUGGCUGUUUCUCCGAACUGGCUGCCUGCAUUCCCGUCUUUCUUUUGUUUUUAAGAAAUAGACUGAAUUCAGCUGUUAAUCCUCUAGUACAGUAUCCAUGUUAAAAUGUUUUUCCAUUGCAUCUUUUAUGUGAAUUCAAAGGUCAGAAUUUAUUGUCUGUGAUAUUGAGACCAUGUGUACAAGAACUACUUUUUGCUUUUCAUCAUUCACUCCUUAGCAAACGUUUCGUAAGUACCCUCUGUCUGUUUGCUACUAUAUGAGGUGCUGCGAAAUUAGUGGGCGUGGCUUUUUAUAUUUUUCAUUCGUGUGUAGCCUAAGUAAGGUGACUCAAGAUGAUACACCGAGAGAAAAAUGCAAAAUAUAUUUGGUUCUCAUUUCUGUUGCUGUCGUUUCCUUUUUAAAGACGAUUUAUCAACUGCUGCCAUUUGGAACUUCCUAUAAGAAACUAAAAAUGAUCUAUUUCAGUGUUCCUUUCGCCUUUCCUCUGCUUUCUGAAUAAAUGGUUUCAGUAACCCAUGCUGUUCUCUCCCUAUUCUACGUCUUUCUCCCUAUGUUGAAAAAAGAUUCCCACAGUUUCUGAUGUGUGUGUUUAUAGUCUUCAAUGUAUGUUAACAUGUUAGGAACUGAGUAUCUUAAGAGAUGUCUUAGAAUGCUUUAGUUUUCAUAAUUUGUCCUUUAUGUAUUUUUCAUUGUAUUUGCUGUUUUGACAUGGAAGUAAUUUAAAAAGUUGGUGCAGGAAAGGACUCUUUACUGUUGCACAUUUUGGUUUUCUGAUAUGUAAUAAAUUCAUGGCUUGGCAGCUGACAUGAUGUUUCCCAGAGAGAAGGAGAUGUAUUUCUGCAGGGUCCAGACCAAAAGAGCCAUUUACAGCAUGUUCUCCCAUGUUCCAUUAUCAGCCUGAUGAAACCUGCCCUGCCAAGGCAUAAACUUUUGUACUAGCUGUCUCCAUAUUAUGUUCAAUAAAUUCUGUGCUCUGAAUAU